RNAcentral lists this long non-coding RNA (7973 nucleotides) under Sus scrofa (pig). RNAcentral describes it as "lncRNA (ENSSSCG00035048537.1)". Lineage: Eukaryota; Metazoa; Chordata; Mammalia; Artiodactyla; Suidae. The record is from RNAcentral.
AAAAAGAAAACCAAUCAAGUUCAAGGAUUUUCUUCUGUAAGGCCAGUCAGAAAAGAGAAAGGAGCAGAAGUUUUGUGAUAAUGGUGACAAGAAGAAUAGGUGAGAAUUAUGUGAAUUGGCUGAGGAUCCUUAAGACCCAUGAUUCUAGCACAAGGAUGGAAAAUACAGGAUUUGCACACUCCCUCCAGUUACUUAGUAGCAUGCCACACACUGUAGGUGCCCAAUAAAUAUUUGUUAAAUGUUAAAAAAUGCUAAAUUUGCCUUCAUAAGGGUCAAGUGUUCAGUGCCUAGCAGCAGGAUGGGCAGCCCAAUGGUCAUCUUUCCAGUUGAGUUCUGACCCCCUGCUUGUUCUAGGUGAGAAUGUGCUAUUAUUCAGAAUAUGGACCACAGGACCUGGUGAGUUUCUCAGUAUGUCAAGAACCUUGCAUAUUAGUUAUGCAUAGUAAGGACUUGUAUUUACCUAUCACUUAAAUCUUCCUCUGUCAUGCUAUAGAACUAGAAAAAAAUGCACAUCUUCCGCCUGAUUCUCAGUUCCCACUGGGCUGAGAUCAGAGAGAAAAGAAAUAACAGUGUGAGGAUUGAUGCUUAAGACAGAAAUCAGAAUGGAGGGAGAGGAGGAUAAACCAGUUCCUCCUGGUUUAAAGAUUUUUUUAACAUGUAAUUUCAUUCUUACCUGCAGGCAGUUUUCUGAAGGUGAACAUUUAACUUCUAGGAUAAAUAUGAAAUUUGAAACCACAGAUCUGUACUGAAGCUACUGGCACUGUGGCAUAAAUUAAAUAAGGGGGAAAUGAAGAAUGAUUUGUUUUUCUCCUGGAAUAGGACCCCAGUACUCCUCCAAGGUUGUUAAAAGAUUGAGAAAUCUGUGGUACAAAUACUUUAAUUAACUGACAGCAUGUGGGAUGAAUUACAUUUGAUCUCAGUUCAAGAUUCUUGUACAAUAAUGGAUUUAAUUGUUUCAUUUUUUACAGCAUAACGGAUGGAUGAAGGAGGGUGAUUACUUAAGAGAAUGUGUUCAUUUAAAGUAGUGAUUACAAUAUUGUUCUGAAAAGUAGAAUAUAACAUGAAGAAGCUUGCAGAGAAAGUUUAUAGGUGUCCUGAGCCUCUGUGGAUUCUUGCUUCCUUUGCCCUGCUGGUUGUGAGGCUGACAUCUCACCAUCCAACCACUUUAUAACUUUUAGCCCUCAUGGUCUUUUACCAGCAACAAUGGCAAAAGCCUCUUAAUGGCAAUAGCCUCUUAACUGGUCUCUCUGCCUUGGGUUUUAUCUUUUUCUUUCUUCUGUUUUCUACUCUACAGCCAGAGUGUUCUACCAGUAAUGAUCAUAUGAUGGUGCUCUUCCCUAUUUGAAAACCUUUUGAUACUGCCUACAAGAUAAACUACAAGAUUAUUAACAUGGGUUUGAAAUGCUUUGGCUUGUUCUCAGCCCCAUCCUCCUUUACUCUGUGUCUCGCACAUUAUGCUUCAGUAGCACCUGACUAAUGAAAAGUCCUUGAUGAAAUAACUUUUGCUCUCUCUGAAUGUCUGCUUCUGCCAUCUCAUCUCCAAGGAAUAUUCUUUUCCUUUCCCUUGCUCUCCCUUCCCCAAUUUUUGUAUUCAUCCUUUAAGAAAACUCAGUCAUUACCUUCUCCCACCUUCCUCCUAUUUACAUGAGCUGCCCUUCAUUGAUACCUCCCUAUGAUCCUGUAAGUAGUCUAUAAAAACAUUUUUCCCACUUGAUUAAAAGUGUUUAUGAAAAAUUCCCCAUUGGAUGGUGAGUUCAUCAAUAAGAACACCAUAAGAAUAGGUCCCAUAUUCACUUUUGUAUCCUUAGCCUGUAGCACAGGACAGAACAGGUGCUCAUUAAAAGCUCAUUCAGUGAAUGAGUAAAUUGAAAUAGGUUUUCUUCUAUUGGUUCAACAAUACUAUAGUAAAAGUAAUGUUUUAACAAAUAGUCAAGUGAGGCAGGUAUAAAUAAAUCACAUACACAUACGUGACUAACAUAUGUGGAGUGAAAUGCCAAAAGAAAUUAAAUUACUGAGGAAAGAGACUUGGACACAUAUGCUAUCCAAUAUAAUUGCAUGUUUUUAACAUUUCACUUAAUUGUAGCUAUCACCCCAAAGGCCUCUUUGGCCUUCAUGUAUUAUGGUUUAGAGAACUACUUAUCUAUUCGCAUUUAAAGAGGAUGAAGUUGCCUUGCACAAACAAGUCUGCCUCUAGCUCUGGGCUUCUCAAACACCAUUUAUGCAUCUAUAUCUUGGCUAUUAUAAAUAAUGAUGCUAUGAACAUUGGGGUGCACAUAUCUUUUAAAAUUAGCAUUGGAUGGACCUAGAGGGCAUUAUGCUUAGUAAAAUAAGUCAGAAAAAGACAAAUACUGUAUGUGGUCACUUGUAUGUGGAAUCUAAAAAAUAAAACUGACUAGCAAGUAUAACAAAAGAAGCAGACUCACAAAUAUAGAGAACAAAGUAGUGGUUACCAGUGGGGAGAAGGAAGCAUGGGCAAGACAGAGGUAGGGGAUUAACAGAUACAAACUAAUAAGUAUAAAAUAAAUAAACUAUAGGAGUAUAUUGUAAAGCUCAGGGAAUAUAGCCAAUAUUUUAUAAUAACUGUAAGUGGAGUCUCUUCUAUUAAAAUAUUGAAUCACUAUUGUAAACCUGAAACUAAUAUGAUAUUGUAAGUAAACUAUACUUCAAUUAAAAAAAACCCACCAUUAUGCAUAGAUCCUAUUAAAAUGAUGAUCCUGAUUCAGUAGUUCUGGAAUGGUAUUUGAGACUUUGUGAAUUUAACUAACUCCCAAAUAAUACUAAUGCUAUUGGCACUUGGCCCUCAUUUUGUGUGGCUAGGAUAGAGAACACCUUAACUCCACAGAGUAAAAUUAUUUGCAGGGAAUUGAAGUCGAAAUAUUUUAUUGUUGAGCUCAUAGCUAACUUGAGAGUUUUUGCCACCUUGUGUUAAUAUCUAAGUGAAUUUUAGCUGAUGUUUUUGACCAUAGUUUGAUGAAGUAUUUUUCAUGAUCAAAUUGAAUUCUGAAUAUUGUUUUUCAUAAUAACCUAAAUUUUCAUUUAUUUUUAUUGUUUUUAUGUUACAUUAUUUUGUACUAGCUAAUUUUUUGAUUCUAAGCCCAGGAUUCUGACCUGUGAGUCACAUAGGAAGCUUCUCUACAUUUGCAAACCAUUUAGAUGAGUCAAGACAAUUGCGUUUGGGAAAAGAUCCUGCUCAAUAUAGAAACUUGGAAGGAAAUGACCAAAAUAUGAUAAUAUUCAAGAUUAUAAGUAAAGGAAAGGUUAUAUUGAGGAAAUAUAAACCAGAUCCAGAUUGAUCAAAAAAUUAUUGGAAAAUAAGUCUAAGAGCCAAAUAGUAUCCAAGUGCUUUAAGAUAAAAAUACUCAAAAGUAUAUAUGUGAGGAGAAAAGACAAGAAAAAGAAUGAGAAACAAAUUAGCCUCAAAUUUUAUAGAGUUUAAAACCAAAGAAAAUAACCUUGUAAAAUAGAUAUGCCACAACCAUCAGGCACAGAGGCCUUUCUAAGUACAUUAUCUAUCUUAGAUCACUUAAUUCUUUCAAAUACCCCAUGGGGUAGGUCCUUUUAUUAAGGCCAGAUGACUAGAAAGGAAUGAAAUUACAGUGCUAUUUAAGAAGUGCUUAGGAAUUAAACAGUGAAAUAACCUACUUUUUUAAUAGUCCUUUCUGGGAUUCUGUAAUAAAAAUAAGAAUUACUCAUUUCAUUAACAUUGAAUGGGCAAGUAAUAAGAAUUAACAUGUGUAAAUAUAUUACAUGUAUUAUUUAAUUUUAAUAACAAGCCUAUGAGUUAGGAGUUACUAUUGUCUUCAUUUUACUGAUGAAGGAAUUGAGAUUUAGUGAGGUUGUGUAACUGUCCAAAAUCAUCCAGUUGGUUAAGAAAGAGAACCAGGUCAGUUUUCUUGGCAGCAGUGUGUUUCUGGUUUUGUGUGUUUUUUUUUAAAAAGUCUAUUUUUCUCUUGCACCUCCUGAUGAACAACUUUCUCUAGGUAAAUACCUAUAAGUGAUACUGUUAGAGCAAGGAAAAACACAUGUUAAACUCCGUUAUGAAAUGCCAAUCCACAUUUCACAUAAACUACAAUUUACACUCAUUUCAAAAGCAAAGCAGGGUUCUGCAUUCCUGCCAAUACCUGAUACAUUCUAACAGUUACAUUUUUGAUAAUUUUGCAGUUUUGCAGUUUUACUUGUCUUUCCUCUGCUUAAUAAUGAGAUUGAAUAUUGUCAAAUGUUUAUGGAUUUUUAAUCUAUCAUCUAUGAAGUUCCUGCUCAUUGAUUUUUCCCCCUCAUUUUUUUCUACUGUGUUUUCUUUUUCUUUUUGACUUACACUGUUCACAUAGAUUACACACUAAUUAUUUAUUGUUUAAAUAUGUUGCAAAUAUCUACAAGUUUGCAGCAUUUUUAUUCAUUAUCUAAAUUGUCUCUUCUAGCAAAGAGAAUUUGUUGAUUUUUUGUGGUUUGUGUUUUUUGUAUCUUUUAAAAGAAAUCUGUCUCUACUAAAGGUCUUACAAAUACAAGAUUUUCUUCUAAAAGUUUUAUAGUUUUCUUUUCACAUUUAAGCCUUUAAUUGUCCUGAAUCUGUUUUUUUGUGUGGAUGUGAGGUAGGGAUCUGUGACAUAUGUAAUCAGAGCCCACCCUUAUUCCUUAACCCAAAUCAGAGCUCACCUAGAGCUUCAGUGAAGAAGAAUCCUACACUUGGCUUCCUAUCUCAGGCAUCUGCCUAUCAGGAAGAGCUUCAUGGGGACAGAUUUCUUUAAGUACCAGCUGCUCUGGUAGCUGAAGCAGGCUUGGCACAUAGAUAGGAAUGGCUGAAAGAGAGAGAGGUUCAAUGCCCCAAGAAUGUUCAUGAGAAAAUAAGGGGACAAAAUAAAUAGAAAAGUAACUUCCCCACCCCUAAAUUGGACAAUUGUGAGGUAUGUUUCACACAGUCUCUCAGGGAAUUCACAAUAGGCUUGAACUCUAGUUUCCAACAGUGAUAACCAGUUAUUAAUAUAUACUCAAAUGGUUUUUCCCCCUUCCCUGUUGCAUUGCCCCAUGCACUGACAUUUCCUGAAGUUACUCCCUAAUAAAUAUUUUCUCCAAAUUCUUCAUUCAGGUCUGGUUUUGUCUAUAACCUAAACUGUCCUACAAAGCAGACACUCAGGAUAAGAUCUAAAACUAGCCUAUUUGCUAGUCAUAUAGCAUAGGGUCUCUGUUACUGGUAGUAGGGAGGGUGGUAAUGACCACUGGUAUGCUGCAGCAUCAUAUCUACUAAUACUCUUGCCUAAGAUUUCUUGGAAAGAAGUACAGGUGUAUGAGACCUCGCCUCCGAAGGUUAGUCCCCAGAAAAGGGCCAGGGGACGCCUGGGUGGGGGCUGGGCACUGAGACCUUGGCUCCACAGGUUACUCCCCAGGAAAGGGCUGGGGGACGCCUGGGUGGGGGCUGGGCACCAAGACCUCGGCUCCAGAGGUUAGUCCUCGAGAAAGGGCUGGGGGGGGCGGGGCGGAGUGGAGACUGCUUGGGAGGUCUAGAAACCGGUCUGUCAAGUUGAAUGGGGCAGAGACUGCCAGGGAGACCAGAAAACAAAGCUGUCCCAGAGGAAGGGAGCAAUACUCUAGGGGCGGGGAAGUGGAAAGCCGCAUCAGAGGGAACCUGGGAGAAGAGCCUGGUCUGCGCCCGUGCUGGGGAGGGGAGAGAGGAAGGGGUGGGUCCCCAUAGAACACCCCACAUGCCACAGCAAGUUUACAGGCCCGCUAGCUAGCAGAAAGCUGUGCUUCCCAGUGCAUCCCAUCCCCCCACCCCUGCCACCCCCUAUGCUCUCGCCAGACCUGGGGCUGCCUGCCAUCCGGAAGGGCUGGCCUCAACAACUGCCUGAAGCCUACCACCACAGGGGCUGUCCCUGCACAGGCCUGCUUGCCCUUUGGAGGGGCUACAAUUCCUCAGAGCAGCACCAAACACCACCAGCCCCUGAGAAAAGGCCUGCAGCGCAGAAAAGCUAGAACAAGCCUAGCCAGGCUGUGAAAAGAUCUGCCUAAUUCUCCAAUGGUUUUUCUGAGUCCGGCUGCCCCAAGGAGGAGCCUCUUGGGUUUUCAGCGGCCCUGCUAGCUACCAAAGCCCUCAGGGGGUGCCCUACUCCCGCGGAAUAGCUGCUCAGCACCACCAGCCCCCUGGAGGACAACCUGCAGCCCAGAAAAGCUGCAACAAGCUUGGCCAGACUGUGAAAAGAUCUGCCUACAUUCUCAGGCCGUCCUUCUGAGUUGGGCUGCCCUAGGGAAGAGCCUCUUAGGUUCUCAGUGACCCAGAUAGCUGCUCCACCCCCAGGGGGUGCUGCACUCCUGAGGAACAGCUGCCCAACACUGCCAACCUCCUGCAAGAACGCCAUAGCCUAAAAACACUAGAGCAAGCUCUGCCUGACCGAGUGAAAUCUGCUACCAUCGUGGUGUGGACAUCCCAGUCCUAUCUGCCCACAGGAAGUCCUCCUUUGCUUCAAAGAGACCCUGUUAGCCCCAUCAACACUCCAGAAAAACCACACUGCCUCAAAAAAGACUGACCAACAAUGCCAGCCCUCAGGAAAUAUUCCACGGAAGUGACAAGGCAAACACUGCCCGGUCACGGAGAGUACAACUCCCUCCAGGAGAAAGAAAACAACAAGCAAGAUGAAGAAGCUGAGAAACCACCCCCAGUCAAACCAACAGGAGAACUCACCUAAAACAGUCAACAAUGAAACAGAUCUCUGCAGUCAGACAGACCUGGAGUUCAAAAGAGAAAUAGUGAAAAUACUGAAGGAAUUAAGAGAAGAUAUGAACAGUAAUGCAGAUACCCUCAGAAAGGAACUAGAAAAUAUAAGGAGGAGCCAAGAAAAAUUAGAACAUUCAGUUGCAGAGAUACAAACUGAACUAAGGGCAGUAAAAACCAGAAUGAAUAAUGCAGAAGAAAGAAUCAGUGAUAUGGAAGAUAGAAUAAUGGAAAUCACCCAAUCAGGUCAGCAGACAGAAAACUGAAUAAAAAAACUGGAAAGCAAUAUAAGAGACCUAUGGAAUAAUAUAAAGCGGGCCAAUCUAUGCAUAAUAGGAAUUCCAGGUGUAGAAAAAGAUAAGGGAGUGGAAAAUAUAUUUGAAGAAAUUAUCAAUGGAAACUUCCCAAAUCUAAAGGAUACUGGGUUCAAGAUACAGGAAGCACAGAGGGCCCCAAACAAAUUGAACCCAAACAGACCCACAGCAAGACACAUCAUAAUAAAAAUGGCAAAAGUUAGUGAUAAAGAGAGGAUCCUAAAGGCAGCAAGAGAAAAACAGAAUGUUACCUACAAGGCAACCCCCAUAAGAAUAUCAGCUGAUUUCUCUACAGAAACACUACAGGCCAGGAGGGAAUGGCAAGAGAUAUUUAAAGUGCUAAAAGGAAAAAAUAUGCAACCUAGAAUACUCUAUCCAGCAAGAAUAUCAUUUAAAAUAGAAGGGGAAAUAAAAUUUUUUUCCAACAAACAAAAACUUAAAGAAUACAGCAACACAAAACCCAGGUUAAAAGAAAUACUGAAAGGGCUUCUCUAAACCAAAAAGAAAGGAAGGAAAGGGAAGAAAAAAAGAAAAGAAAAAAAAAAGAAGAAGAAGAGGAAGAACAGGACUAAUGAAACUGCAAUCAGAGAGCAGUCACUGAAAUAAGCCAGCAUACAGAUUUAAUCAUGAACAGGCCUCAAACAAAAUAAAGCUAAAAACAAAAAAUAAAAGAGUCAUCAAAACCAUAAAAUGUGGGCAAGGGAUGUUCGGAAAUAAUAACCCUUUUUGUUUGCUUGUAUGUUUCUCUUCUUAAUUUCAAUAUAGUAAUGAAGUGUUUGAACUUACAGGACCAUCAGGCUAAAACACACAAUUAUGGGAAGGGGUUAGCAUACUUAAAAAAUAGGGCAACCACAAGACAAAAGCAAAUAUUGCAUUUGCAAAAAUGAAAAAAAAAAACCAACAAAACAAUCAAACGGAUAAAAACAGGAGACCAUCCAACCAAAAAAAAAAAAAAA